UACGUAGGUGACCAGCGUUGUCCGGAUUUAUUGGGCGUAAAGAGCGCGUAGGCGGCCGAGUAAGUCCGACGUGAAAUCUGGAGGCUCAACCUCCAGCGGUCGUUGGAAACUACUCGGCUAGAGUCCGGAAGAGGAGAGUGGAAUUCCUGGUGUAGCGGUGAAAUGCGCAGAUAUCAGGAAGAACACCGAUGGCGAAAGCAGCUCUCUGGGACGGUACUGACGCUGAGGCGCGAAAGCGUGGGGAGCGAACAGG
Molecule: ribosomal RNA, 253 nt
Filed under: uncultured bacterium
Lineage: Bacteria
Description: partial 16S ribosomal RNA
Rfam family: Bacterial small subunit ribosomal RNA
Source: RNAcentral